RNAcentral lists this ribosomal RNA (484 nucleotides) under uncultured bacterium. Its description in RNAcentral is "partial 16S ribosomal RNA". It matches the Rfam family "Bacterial small subunit ribosomal RNA", at positions 30 to 507 of the family's 1533-position model. The record is from RNAcentral.
AUUGAACGCUGGCGGCAGGCCUAACACAUGCAAGUCGAGCGGAUGAAGGGAGCUUGCUCCUGGAUUCAGCGGCGGACGGGUGAGUAAUGCCUAGGAAUCUGCCUGGUAGUGGGGGAUAACGUCCGGAAACGGGCGCUAAUACCGCAUACGUCCUGAGGGAGAAAGUGGGGGAUCUUCGGACCUCACGCUAUCAGAUGAGCCUAGGUCGGAUUAGCUAGUUGGUGGGGUAAAGGCCUACCAAGGCGACGAUCCGUAACUGGUCUGAGAGGUUGAUCAGUCACACUGGAACUGAGACACGGUCCAGAAUCCUACGGGAGGCAGCAGUGGGGAAUAUUGGACAAUGGGCGAAAGCCUGAUCCAGCCAUGCCGCGUGUGUGAAGAAGGUCUUCGGAUUGUAAAGCACUUUAAGUUGGGAGGAAGGGCAGUAAGUUAAUACCUUGCUGUUUUGUCGUUACCAACAGAAUAAGCACCGGCUAACUUCGUG